Molecule: ribosomal RNA, 472 nt
Filed under: uncultured bacterium
Lineage: Bacteria
Description: bacterial SSU rRNA
Rfam family: Bacterial small subunit ribosomal RNA
Source: RNAcentral
UGGGGAAUAUUGGACAAUGGGCGCAAGCCUGAUGCAGCGACGCCGCGUGGAGGAUGAAGGUCUUCGGAUUGUAAACUCCUGUCGACCGGGACGAAUGCACUCGACCUAAUACGUCGGAAUGUUGACGGUACCGGUGGAGGAAGCCACGGCUAACUCUGUGCCAGCAGCCGCGGUAAUACAGGGGGUGCGAGCGUUAAUCGGAAUUACUGGGCGUAAAGGGCGCGUAGGCGGUCGAGUAAGUCGGAUGUGAAAUCCCCGGGCUUAACCUGGGAAUUGCAUUCGAUACUGCUUGGCUAGAGUGUGGAAGAGGGAAGCGGAAUUUCCGGUGUAGCGGUGAAAUGCGUAGAUAUCGGAAGGAACACCAGUGGCGAAGGCGGCUUCCUGGUCCAACACUGACGCUGAGGCGCGAAAGCGUGGGGAGCAAACAGGAUUAGAUACCCCAGUAGUCCCUGAGCGGGCUGGCAAGGCGCAU